UUUGCCCUCAUAGCCUUUGGAACAAAUUGUUCUCAUCCACCCAUUCUUCUGGGGGAAGUCUUCACAAGCUCAGGAAAGACAUCCCGCUAACUUAUUGGUGAAGGAGAUAAGUGUGGAGGUCAGGAGAGUGAGCUGUAGGAUUUCAAAAGUCAGAGUUCAGGCGUCCCUGAGGUCCCAAGGAGCAAGGAGUGAUCCUCAAGUAAUCAGACCUAGUAGUUGAGACAAGAAUGCAUCUGGCAGUUGUUGUUGAUGUUGUUUGUUCCCCUCCCCCUCAACCAUUUCCCCCCAACUAAGAGGACCAAUGGCAUCAUGAGGUGAUGUCUUGGUUUGCAAUGAAUUGGAUUCAAAUGAGGCAAAGUUAUACAAAGUCAUUAGUCUUACUCUUUCU
This 388-nucleotide long non-coding RNA is filed under the name Monodelphis domestica (gray short-tailed opossum). RNAcentral's name for it is "lncRNA (ENSMODG00000036373.1)". Lineage: Eukaryota; Metazoa; Chordata; Mammalia; Didelphimorphia; Didelphidae. The record is from RNAcentral.